GAUUUUCUGUAAGAUAUAACUUAUUUUAACUUUGGCUUGUUUUCUAGGAAACUCUACACAUUGCUUCAGUUCUCAAGUAUAACCAAGUUUGUAAGAAACGCACAUUGUUGGGUCUUCUUGAAACUCUACACACUGCUUCAUUUCUCUGAGAAAAGAAAAUUUAUAAUUUAAUCACAUUGUGGGGACUUGUGUAAGUCACUGAAACUCUACACACUGCUUCAGUUUUCAGAGAAAAGCAAAUUUAUAAUUAACGAACAUUGUCACUUCUUCGUGAAACUCUACACACUGCUUCUGUUCUCAGAGAAGAGCAUAUUUUUAAUUAAUGCACGUGGUAGCUUCCUCGUGUAAGUCACUGUAAAUAUUUACACUUGUAUGAUAUUUAUGUAAUAACUCAUUGUACCUAAGCGUG
Molecule: long non-coding RNA, 409 nt
Filed under: Microcebus murinus (gray mouse lemur)
Lineage: Eukaryota; Metazoa; Chordata; Mammalia; Primates; Cheirogaleidae
Description: lncRNA (ENSMICG00000048346.1)
Source: RNAcentral